GUCUCAAAGAUUAAGCCAUGCAUGUCUAAGUACACACGGCUGGUACAGUGAAACUGCGAAUGGCUCAUUAAAUCCGUUAUGGUUCCUUUGAUCGCUCCAACGUUACUUGGAUAACUGUGGCAAUUCUAGAGCUAAUACAUGCAAACGAGCGCUGACUCCUAGCGGGGAUGCGUGCAUUUAUCCGACCCAAAAAUCCAUCCGGGGUGCCUCUGUGGGCCCCGGCCGCUUUGGUGACUCUAGAUAACCUCGGGCAGAUCGCACGCCCUCCAUCUCAUUCAAAUGUCUGCCCUAUUAACUUUCGAUGGUACUUUCUGUGCCUACCAUGGUGACCACCAGUAACGGGGAAUGAGGGUUCGAUUUCGGAGAGGGAGCCUGAGAAAAGGCUACCAAAUCCAAGGAAGGCAGCAGGCGCGCAAAUUACCCACUCCUGACUCGGGGAGGUAGUGACGAAAAAUAACAAUACAGGACUCAUUUGAGGCCCCUGUAAAUGGAAUGAGUACACUUUAAAUCCUUUGACGAGGAUCCAUUGGAGGGCAAGUCUGGUG
Molecule: ribosomal RNA, 545 nt
Filed under: Anguilliformes sp. FS8
Lineage: Eukaryota; Metazoa; Chordata; Actinopteri; Anguilliformes
Description: bacterial SSU rRNA
Rfam family: Eukaryotic small subunit ribosomal RNA
Source: RNAcentral